Molecule: long non-coding RNA, 807 nt
Organism: Hordeum vulgare subsp. vulgare (domesticated barley)
Lineage: Eukaryota; Viridiplantae; Streptophyta; Magnoliopsida; Poales; Poaceae
Exons: 2
Source: RefSeq, a predicted model, not a curated record
GCUCCUCUCGUGACUGCCUCCUCACCCGAAGCCCCCACCGUCCGCUGGUUCACCGGCCCUGCUCGCCUUCGGUGCGUCACCGGAGCAGGCCGGACCGAGCCCCGUCGCAGAUCGCCGUCGCCAUCACACCCUCCUCAACCCACAGCUCUAUCCUCUCGCGUUCAUCUGUCUCUCUCGCCUCUCCCGUGCAGGAAGCCAUGGCCACGCCCGGAACCUUCACCGUGCUCGGCUCUGCCCAGGAUCGAGGGGAUCUGGUCCCUAGCGGUCGGAUCCGGCCGCCCCGAACUCCCCUUCGCGCCUCCAGCCAUCGCCAUCUCCAUGCCCCCACCACGCGUUGAUUUCCUGGGCAGGCCGAGUGCACGCCAUGAGCCGUCCCAGCUUGCCGCAUCCCCGCCGAUCCGGCCAGCCAGGGCGUCUGCCUCGAGCCCAGCCGCAAGGCAAGCCACACCAUGACCCCGAGCCGGCCCAAUCCCCACGGGCCCGAGAUUGCGUGCUUGGAGAGGAGGAUCCCGAAGAUAAGCCUGGAACCUAGGCACCGAAGUCAACAGUCGCGUGAGAUAGAAAUUAACCCCGUCAGUUGUUCCUAUAGGAAAUGGAGUCCCAUAGACGUUGGAGAUCCCCGAACCGCUUCCACCAUCAACCAAUAGAAACCUUUUGAUGUACUCCAUAGACCAUCUUGGUCUUGUACCUCAGAUUUACAUUUUUCUUGGAUAUUUGUAUCAAGGAUUUGUGCACUAGCUAACAGUAUUCCUCGGGCUGGUAUGCACAAGGGCCAUUUUGAAGGGAAAUUAAAACCCAAAAGAACUG